CUAAGGGGCGGAGCCGACGCGUAAAGCGGCUUUGCGCAUGCGCACCAGCUAGGCGGUUAGAUUUGAAUACUUCACUGAGGCCGUCUGGACGUUGUGAGGUGAAGAGGAGCGGCGGCGGUGAGGCCCUGGUCUGAGGGGCGCGCGCACCCCAAACAAGUCUGAAGAGAAUUUGUGAAGCAGUUGGGCUGCGGCGGAAAAAAUUUUUCUUCAAAAAUGGAUGGGAUGUCUUCAGAGGCUAAUGAAGAAAACGACAAUACAGAGAGACCUGUUAGAAGACGACAUUCUUCAAUUUUGAAACCCCCAAGGAGUCCUCUUCAGGACCUCAGAAGUGGGAAUGAAACAGUUCAGGAAUCCAAUGCUUUGAGAAAUAAGAAAAGCUCUCGUCGAGUCAGCUUUGCAGAUACUAUAAA
Non-coding RNA from Ceratotherium simum simum (southern white rhinoceros), 410 nucleotides. The record is from RefSeq and is a predicted model, not a curated record. NCBI's taxonomy places the organism in Eukaryota, Metazoa, Chordata, Mammalia, Perissodactyla, Rhinocerotidae.